This 185-nucleotide ribosomal RNA is filed under the name Halomonhystera sp. n. JVC-2014. RNAcentral describes it as "partial 18S ribosomal RNA". The stretch from base 1 to 164 matches the Rfam family "Eukaryotic small subunit ribosomal RNA", at positions 1670 to 1831 of the family's 1831-position model. The record is from RNAcentral. Lineage: Eukaryota; Metazoa; Nematoda; Chromadorea; Monhysterida; Monhysteridae.
CGCCCGUCGCUGCCCGGAACUGAACCAUUUCGAGAAAUGUGGGGACUGACGACUUGAGGCCUUCACGGGCUUCUUGUUGACGGAAACCGCCUUAAUCGCAGUGGUUUGAACCGGGCAAAAGUCGUAACAAGGUUUCCGUAGGUGAACCUGCGGAAGGAUCAUCACUGAGUUUGCGAGCUUGUCUU